RNAcentral lists this ribosomal RNA (497 nucleotides) under uncultured bacterium. RNAcentral's name for it is "partial 16S ribosomal RNA". It matches the Rfam family "Bacterial small subunit ribosomal RNA", at positions 28 to 507 of the family's 1533-position model. The record is from RNAcentral.
GAUGAACGCUGGCGGCGUGCCUAAUACAUGCAAGUCGAGCGAACAGAUAAGGAGCUUGCUCCUUCGACGUUAGCGGCGGACGGGUGAGUAACACGUGGGUAACCUACCUAUAAGACUGGGAUAACUUCGGGAAACCGGAGCUAAUACCGGAUAAUAUUUCGAACCGCAUGGUUCGAUAGUGAAAGAUGGCUUUGCUAUCACUUAUAGAUGGACCUGCGCCGUAUUAGCUAGUUGGUAAGGUAACGGCUUACCAAGGCGACGAUACGUAGCCGACCUGAGAGGGUGAUCGGCCACACUGGAACUGAGACACGGUCCAGACUCCUACGGGAGGCAGCAGUAGGGAAUCUUCCGCAAUGGGCGAAAGCCUGACGGAGCAACGCCGCGUGAGUGAUGAAGGUCUUCGGAUCGUAAAACUCUGUUAUUAGGGAAGAACAUACGUGUAAGUAACUGUGCACGUCUUGACGGUACCUAAUCAGAAAGCCACGGCUAACUACGUG